This 468-nucleotide ribosomal RNA is filed under the name uncultured bacterium. RNAcentral describes it as "partial 16S ribosomal RNA". It matches the Rfam family "Bacterial small subunit ribosomal RNA", at positions 29 to 507 of the family's 1533-position model. The record is from RNAcentral.
AACGAACGCUGGCGGCGUGCUUAACACAUGCAAGUCGAACGGAAACGCCCUGCUUUGUUGCGGUGCUCGAGGGGCGAACGGGUGAGUAACACGUGAGUAACCUACACUUGACUUUAGGAUAACUUCAUGAAACUGGAUCUAAUACCGCAUAGGAUCUCCUGCUUUUGGGUGGGCGUUGGAUAGUUUCGGCGGUUGGUGAUGUACUCGCGGCUUAUCAGCUUGUUGGUGGGGUCGUGGCUUACGAAGGCUUUGACGGGUAGCCGUCCUGAGAGGGUGACCGGCAACAUUGGGACUGAGAUAGGGACAAGACUCAUACGGGAGCGAGCAGUGGCAAAUAUUGCACAAUGGGCGGAAGCGUGAUGCAGCAACACCGAGUGCGGGAUGACGGCGUUCGGGUUGUAAACCGCUUUCGCUUGUGACGAAGCGUGAGUGAAGGUAAUGGGUAGAGAAGCACCGGCUAACUACGUG